AGUGAACGCUGGCGGUAGGCCUAACACAUGCAAGUCGAACGGCAGCACAGUAAGAGCUUGCUCUUACGGGUGGCGAGUGGCGGACGGGUGAGGAAUACAUCGGAAUCUACUUUUUCGUGGGGGAUAACGUAGGGAAACUUACGCUAAUACCGCAUACGACCUACGGGUGAAAGCAGGGGAUCUUCGGACCUUGCGCGAUUGAAUGAGCCGAUGUCGGAUUAGCUAGUUGGCGGGGUAAAGGCCCACCAAGGCGACGAUCCGUAGCUGGUCUGAGAGGAUGAUCAGCCACACUGGAACUGAGACACGGUCCAGACUCCUACGGGAGGCAGCAGUGGGGAAUAUUGGGCAGUGGGCGCAAGCCUGAUCCAGCCAUACCGCGUGGGUGAAGAAGGCCUUCGGGUUGUAAAGCCCUUUUGUUGGGAAAGAAAAGCAGCAGGUUAAUACCCCGCUGUUCUGACGGUACCCAAAGAAUAAGCACCGGCUAACUUCGUG
RNAcentral lists this ribosomal RNA (492 nucleotides) under uncultured bacterium. Its description in RNAcentral is "partial 16S ribosomal RNA". It matches the Rfam family "Bacterial small subunit ribosomal RNA", at positions 29 to 507 of the family's 1533-position model. The record is from RNAcentral.